RNAcentral lists this ribosomal RNA (112 nucleotides) under Caerostris darwini. Lineage: Eukaryota; Metazoa; Arthropoda; Arachnida; Araneae; Araneidae. The record is from RNAcentral.
AACGGCCGUACCAUGCUGAAUAUACCGGAUCUCGUUAGAUCACCGAAGUCAAGCAUCAUUGGGCGCGGUCAGUACUUGGGUGGGUGACCACCUGGGAACACUGCGUGCCGUU